AGCAGCAGCCAUAUCACCCUGCAACUCACAACUGGCAACCCACUGAAGCUAAGCAGGUGUGAGCCUGGUCAGUACCUGGAUGGGAGACCUCCUGGUUAAAAAAGGUUGAUGCUGGAA
Ribosomal RNA from Lepisosteus oculatus (spotted gar), 117 nucleotides. The record is from Rfam. NCBI's taxonomy places the organism in Eukaryota, Metazoa, Chordata, Actinopteri, Semionotiformes, Lepisosteidae.